Alosa alosa (allis shad) is the source of this 3500-nucleotide long non-coding RNA. RefSeq lists it as uncharacterized. The transcript is spliced from 2 exons. Lineage: Eukaryota; Metazoa; Chordata; Actinopteri; Clupeiformes; Clupeidae. The record is from RefSeq and is a predicted model, not a curated record.
CGAGAAUCUCAGUGGCUUCAGUUUAGAGAAGACCGCUGGUCCUGACCACCGAAGGGGAGCAUCUUAGCCUAUUAUUUACACAUGUCACUUGCCGAUGAUUGUUACUGUGUGUGGGCAAAAUGUGAGGGGGACAGCAACACAAGCGACACGUUGGAAAUCAGCUGCAGCAGAACAAACAGGGACAGCUCCAAUCAAACAGUGGGCGGAGAGCACAGAGCUCACUUUGGAGGGGACGGUUGUCAGGCCAGGCCGUGGCUUUUGAAAGGUGAUGAUGUCAUCCUGGAGGGACGUGAGUGUGAGGCCAUCCAUCUGGUGCAACGGAGGCCGCAGCAGGCUCAAGCCCACGGUCUGCUGCAAGACUUCCUGUUGCUCUCCGAUGGGCUUCCUGCCCUCGUCAGCAUGUGGUCAUGACAACCGUGGGGAGAAGACGGACCAGGCCAGAUCAGCGCAAACAGCAACUCGUGACACCAUCACCCCUCACACACACACACACACACACACACACACACACACACACACACACACACACACACACACACAGAUUCAGCACGAGGUCAACAAAACUCAUGACCUCUCGUGUUCAGACAGGCGACACAUUAAGUAUUCCUUCAUUGCUCUUUCUUCCUGACCUUUGCUGCUUUGGACACUGAUGAUUUUUAAAUGCAACCUGCCUUGUCAGUCAAACUGUUCUCAGCAUUUGUUAAAUGUUAGAGGGAUUGAUAAGAUUUUGGGUUAAUACAUUUUUUGACGUAUAUAAUUUUGUACUAUACCAAAACCUUUGCAUGAGCAAACAGGUACUACAAGAUCACAGCUGAAUAUUGAGGGGAAAAUCUUUUCUGACACAAACACACAGACACACAGACACACACACACACACACAUACACACACACACACACAGACACAGACACACACAUGUUGCAGUGUCUGAGUAGCAGUCUAAGCAUACUCUAAUUUGGUUGGAUACCAAUUCGUCAGUCAUGGAGGAAUGAUAAGUUUACAUAUUUUUUUUACAGUCACUGUAGUACAGCGCAUGACACUGUUCUAGAAACCCUUGUGUGUAUUUAUUUUCCUCACAAUGAAAACACAUCCAACAUCCAAAACAUCCACUCACUCUACUCCAUAAUGUUUGUUAAAGUCGUCAUGUGAAAGAGAACUGGCGAGACUUUUUGAUAGCAUCAUUACCAGGGUGCUGUAGCGCUGUGUCUAUGUUUAAAUGUGUCUACCAAACUGCAAAUGCAGACUUUGACACUUGGUGCGUGCACGCCCUCAGCUGCUGUGCUACUAGAGGCUGCUUUGCGACUCGCUCACCACUUGCUCCCCUUCACGGGGAGUGAGGCUCCAUGGCGGGGACCUCCACCCAUUGAAGGCUCCAUGAGCGGGAGUCACUGUAUGGAGGCUGCAGUCAGAGGCCUGGGUGCUGCUAAGGAGGUGUGAAUUGUGAGCAGAGGCUUAAGGGCCGUAGACCCCCCCCCCCUCCUUUACCACAACGACACACAAGGAGAAAAAUAUGUGCCUGUGCUAACAAACACGUGCGCCGCUAACACAUGCAUACGCACACGGGGACACAUGCAACCCCCAACAGACACCGCAAGGUUUAAACCAUGGUGCACAUGCACAUUUUGCAGCCUUUCAUCAAAAAUGCUGACAAUGUGGAGUGUCUGUUUGUCUGUUUGUUUGUUUGUCUCUCUCUCUCUCUCUCUCUCUCUCUGUGUGUGUGUGUGUGUGUAUGUGUGCAUUUAUGAGAAACAGUGGUCUUUACUGUGUGUAUGGUUUAAUUUGCGCCAAUCACAACACAUCACGUGUUCCUCCCCACCCCAUCAAAGAGGUCAGUGGUGUUGAGAACAAACACAAAUGUGCUUCUUCUAGGUGAGCAUUCUGGGUUGCAGGGAUGCAAAUCAUCACGGCCGGUUCAUCUUGUAACCUUAAAGCAGCCCUAAAGGGGUAAGAUCAUUAAACCCCUCCCACCACUCAAAGGCUCGUAGAUAACAUCAACACCGAGCAAGGGACAUACUCAAUCUCAACAGAUGCAACAAAUGCACAAGUAUCGUACUGUACCACAACAGGUAUUUACAGACAAUUGUAACUGUUGCUGCCCGAUGCAAGUCGCUGCCUAAUGUGUCAUGUAACGACAUUAGCUACAAGAGACAGCGGUAAUCCAAGAUGGCAGAGCUAAAUCAUAGACAGCAGUAUUUCUACAUAAAAAAGAAUUUCAGGAUUUGUGCCCAUACAUUUAGUAAAAGUUAACAAGUAAUAAGCACCAUUCAAUCUAAAAGGUCAGUUUUUUUGUAACCCCAAAAAAAAAACAUGCCUGAGCAUGCGUUGACUCACUUUGGACAGCGACUCACAUCGGGUUGUGACAGGGACACCCAAAAGCAAUUCUUCUUUAGGACUGAUGGAACACUGAAGUUUUGGCAAGCUUCUAUUGGGUCGUUCUUUGUUACAAUUGAUCUUUCUUAAUGCACCUUCAAAGGUGAAAUGUAAAGAAAGUAAUUUCACAAUACUCAAGAAGUAGAAGUGUAGGGCCAUGCACAUUCCAGGCCAAAUUUGGAUGGGUACUGGAUCCAGCGUGAAAGUAUCACAAGAGGAAAAGAGAUCCACCAUUUUGCUCCCGUUCAUAAUCUUUUUUUUAAUUGUGUAACAUUUCGAGCUCUGAGUACGCUGAGACAUAAGAAAUUGUUAUAUAUCGUUGUAAAAAUUAUUGUUUAUUUGUAGAAUUUUAGUGUUAUUUACAGAAAACCUCAGGCUAAAGGGACUGGAAACCCUUUCCUUCCCCCAUAUUACAUAAUGGAUCUUUUUCCAAAAUAACAGAAAAUGUUCUUUGUUUCACACACACAACAACAACAAAAAACUUUACAAGACGCCUCAUUCAUCACAAGACCGAGACUUGCACAUCACAUGACCCAUGGAGUGUCAGGUCCUAACGCUAGCACAUGCAGAGGGGCAGCACAUGUGUAUGACUCUUAAACAACUGACCCCAUCUCUGGCUAAGACACCAUAGCUGCCACCUUCUGCUUAGACAGUCAGAUAGUGGAGACAAUGUGGUUAGCUAACGCCCCUUUUGUCCCAGCUUAAACAAUGUUGUCCUGUCCCAGUGCACAUGGGGAGGAAUCAGAAGACUGUGGUUUACAUUUGAAAGUGAUAGGACAUGUGAAACUAAGACAACUGUGGGAUUCAGUAGUUGUGGUGAGAAGCAUACCCAGAUUAAGAGCAAACGAACUUAUUUACCAACAAAACAUACACUGCCUCCUCGAUUCUCAACAAUUAGAGUUUGCUGUUCACUAUACCAAGGAUAAGAAUCUGACACUGUCACCAUGGCAUCGGCAACAUUAUACCCCUUUUCUGUAACCUUUUUUCCCACAGGGAGAAGGCAUUCAAUGUCCUUGGCUCAGUAUUUCAGAGCCUUACAGAAAAAUCACAGAAGGCUGAGCUCUUCUAUUAUUUUAUUUGAUUUCAGCUGUGGGUUGUUGUUUCGACUCAUAAUAAAGUCUUUGUCAUCUGG